This is a non-coding RNA of Podarcis muralis (Common wall lizard), 392 nucleotides long. NCBI's taxonomy places the organism in Eukaryota, Metazoa, Chordata, Lepidosauria, Squamata, Lacertidae. The record is from RefSeq and is a predicted model, not a curated record.
CUGGAAGUGGCCCAGCAGGCGGUAGAUGCGGAUGUGCAUUGCGUGGGGGUGAGCACAUUGGCUGCUGGCCACAAAACGCUUGUUCCUGAACUCCUCAAAGAGCUGCAUGCCCUUGGCCGCCCAGACAUUCUCGUCAUGUGUGGAGGAGUCAUCCCUCCUCAGGAUUAUGACUUCUUGUAUGACUCUGGUGUUUCCAAUAUAUUUGGCCCUGGAACCCGAAUCCCAAAGGCAGCUAUCCAAGUUCUUGAAGAUAUUGAGAAAUGCUUGGAUAAGAGGCAGCAAUCUGUGUAAACUUCUGUCUCAUAACAAACUUUGUAUCUCAUGGUGAAUUUUAUAGUUUGUGUUGAUGCAUUGUGAUCUGUUGAUAAAAAGAAGGAAUUUUUGCGAAAUCA